Molecule: ribosomal RNA, 274 nt
Filed under: uncultured bacterium
Lineage: Bacteria
Description: partial 16S ribosomal RNA
Rfam family: Bacterial small subunit ribosomal RNA
Source: RNAcentral
AUACGGAGGGUGCAAGCGUUGUCCGGAUUUAUUGGGUUUAAAGGGUGCGUAGGUGGCGUGUUAAGUCAGUGGUGAAAGCCUGCAGCUCAACUGUAGAGGUGCCAUUGAUACUGACAUGCUUGAGUAUGGACGAGGUAGGCGGAAUUUGUGGUGUAGCGGUGAAAUGCAUAGAUACCACAAAGAACACCGAUAGCGAAGGCAGCUUACUGGACCAUAACUGACACUGAGGCACGAAAGUGUGGGUAGCGAACAGGAUUAGAUACCCCGGUAGUCC